AUUCAGCUGACGAGUCUCAAGUAGGACAAAACGCGCGUCAUGGAU
Molecule: non-coding RNA, 45 nt
Organism: Schistosoma haematobium
Lineage: Eukaryota; Metazoa; Platyhelminthes; Trematoda; Strigeidida; Schistosomatidae
Source: Rfam